RNAcentral lists this ribosomal RNA (490 nucleotides) under uncultured Glomus. RNAcentral describes it as "SSU rRNA". It matches the Rfam family "Eukaryotic small subunit ribosomal RNA", at positions 569 to 1063 of the family's 1831-position model. The record is from RNAcentral. Lineage: Eukaryota; Fungi; Glomeromycota; Glomeromycetes; Glomerales; Glomeraceae.
AGCAGCCGCGGUAAUUCCAGCUCCAAUAGCGUAUAUUAAAGUUGUUGCAGUUAAAAAGCUCGUAGUUGAAUUUCGAGAUCAAAUUGUUGGUCGUGCCUCGGUACGUACUGGCAUUAUUGAUUUCUCCCUUCUGAAGAACCACGAUGUCAUUAAUUUGGUGUCGUGGGGAAUCAGGACCGUUACUUUGAAAAAAUUAGAGUGUUUAAAGCAGGCUCACGCUUGAAUACAUUAGCAUGGAAUAAUGAAAUAGGACGUUUGAUUCUAUUUUGUUGGUUUCUAGGAUCGACGUAAUGAUUAAUAGGGAUAGUUGGGGGCAUUAGUAUUCAAUUGUCAGAGGUGAAAUUCUUGGAUUUAUUGAAGACUAACUACUGCGAAAGCAUUUGCCAAGGAUGUUUUCAUUAAUCAAGAACGAAAGUUAGGGGAUCGAAGACGAUCAGAUACCGUCGUAGUCUUAACCAUAAACUAUGACCGACUAGGGAUCGGAUGAUGU